GCUGGCAAUUGGUGUAAUAUUUUCAUAACAAAUCCGAAGGGAAAAAAGGAAAGGGAAACCCAAAAAACAUAAUCAUUGGCAAUUGUUCACAAAAAUUCUGAAAAAGAAUAUUGUCUGGCCACUAAACAUGGUAUUUUGCGCGAACAGAUUUGAGGUUGCUUAUUUCCUUUUUUUCGGGAUACCUUGAAAUGGUUUUACUGAACACUUUAUUUUUCUUGGGUGUGUCGAAAAAUUUGAUCCGAUCUGUGAAGGAAAAAGUUUUUUAAAAUGUGGAUAUUGUGAUAGAAACAGAUGUGAAGCAUAUUAUUUUAAUAUAUUGUGUUUAACAUUUUAAAAUAUUGUGCCUAACAUUUUAAAAUAUUGUG
Molecule: long non-coding RNA, 365 nt
Filed under: Mytilus galloprovincialis (Mediterranean mussel)
Lineage: Eukaryota; Metazoa; Mollusca; Bivalvia; Mytilida; Mytilidae
Source: RNAcentral